UACAUUUCAACACAUGCAACCUUCAGUACAUUUAAACAUUACCAUUAACCUUUUGAAUCAACAAUAUCAACAAGCUUACACACUGAAAGUCAUAAAAAAACUUGAUCCCCAAACAAAAAAGCAGCAUUUUUGAUAUCCAAACGAUAUCAACAAUUAUGUUUCGACCAUGAUACAGAACAUCCCACAACAAUAGAACAUUCUUACCAGCAAUUUUUGAUAUCCAAAAUAUAACAACAAGUAUUUCUUGACCAUGACACAAAAAAUCUCACAGUAAUGGAACAAUCUUAAGGUUUCCAAGCACAAGAGAAGAUUUGUAACACGCAUAUCAUAUUUAUUCAAAAUUCAAACUGAAUUUGUUGGUGUAUCCGUUGGCCCUUCUUAUCCAAAACAAAACAGUUUCAAAUCUUCUAUGCUUCCUUGCACAUGAAACUCCCCUUUGAUACACACAUAUCUACAGAACAUCCAUAACAAGGAAGACACAUGUUAGAGUAUAUUUAGAACAAGCAUGGCACAAACUAUGUGGAAAACAGAGGAAAUACAUAUCUACUGUUUGGUUUCAGUCAAGGAAAUACAUAUCUACAGUUUAGCAUCCAACUUUAGCACUCAAGUUCAGGUUUGCACUUACAAAAACAAAGACAAAUCAGGUUUAGCAUCUAACUUUUGCACUCAAGUUUACUGAAGUUAGUAUACUCAAAUUAUUAUACUGAAGUUACUAACUUCAACAGAUACUUCUACUAACAGAUAUGAUGAAGUAAUCCGUAACAUAGCAGAAUCCUAGCAUAUAUGAAUCAAUUUGCUCAAGAUUUAGAAAUAUUGUCUGUGUUGAUUUGGAAAUAUCUGAAUCCUACUAAUAUGCAGCAGCACCAGCACCAGCAAAACGAGGCAGCAAAUCACAUACCAGCACCAGCACCAGCAAAACGAGGCAACGAAUCACAAUAGCAGACCAAAUUCAGUUUACUGAACCAGAUUCAGUUGAGCAACGAACAGGAAGAAACAGAGGAAAUCACAUACCUGCAGGACGACGCCGACGGCAGGCUGAGGACGAGGGUGAGGACGAGGACGGCAGGCUGAGGAUCGGGCAGGAUCGGGCUCCUCUCGUUCAGAUCAGAUCAGAGUUGAGUUCAGAUUGGGCUCCUCUUUUUCGUGCCUCAGAUCAGAGACAGAGGCACAGCUUCGACGGCGGGCUGGCUAGACAGCAUCAGUGACGACGGGGGGCUCAGAUCGGGCUCCUCUCGUUCAGAUCGGAUCAGAGGUGUGCCGCCUUCUCUUCCCCCGAUUCGCCCCUCCCUUCCCCCGAUUCACGCCUUGCCUUCUCCCGAUUCGCGCCCUCCCUUCUCCCCUUCCCCCGAUUCCCGCGUUUUUGCUGCGUGGUCCACACCGCGUCGCCCGAGCGAGGCGCCGGAUCCACACUGCGUCGCCCGAGCGGCUGCCUGGUGCUUUUGUCAGGGAAGAACUCGGCUCUUCUGUAGGAGCCCGUUUUGCUCUGCAAGCAACAGGUUUGGAGGAGGUGGCAUCGAACAUGUAGACGUCGCAGAUGAGGCAUCGGUCCAGAGUGGAGCGGUGUACAUGCUCUUAAUCGCUGGGAUGCUUCGUACAGGGUGGGCCCCAUGACAGAGGCCAAGCACGAUGGACAUAGUGCUACACUGCAAUGCCGUGAAACAGGGCAAAGCAAGCGUGGAAUGGCUCUUGUGCUCAGUUAGUGAACGGUCGUUAGCGAGCUACUCCAGCAAGAACGCAGACACGCAGUGGAUGGAACGAAUGGGAAUGAAUAAGCACAAGCACCUGGUGCGCAAGCAGGCAGAAGCUGACCUGAACCUGGUGGCUUGCUUCGAAUUGACUGAGAAGUGACAGGCAAUCAAGAUAUAGAGGAAUGGAACAACGUAACAUAAGCACAAAAUAAAUAGAACACGAUAUUUGAUAUUCUCAUGUAUAAAUAGAUAUAAUCUCUUAUAGUGGCUGGUAUUUAUUGAGGUUGACAAGUACGUGUGAUAGAUCACAGUUAUAAAUUCCACCGAAUUCAGAGGAAUCUUUAUGACCUAUGCAUCAUUCCGCACAAUGUUUUAAGAUGGGGAAACAUUGCAACACCACCUCAAAGAAAUUAAAGAACAGAAACAACAAUAACGUUUUGAGCUCUGGUAGAAACUAAUACAUCAAUUGGAUUAUCAAAUGUUGAAAUGAUUGUCUCACAAAAUCCAUUCCUACACUUACUACACGCGGUAGCAAGAAAGACACAGACACAUAUACAUGCCUAUAUUCUGCUCGAGAACAUGAGCAGCACACUGACAAUCAACACAUUGCAGUAAGAAAUCAAAACAAAAUCUUCCAUCAGCAGCAUCAGCACCAUUUGUCAAGCAAUGGCUUCCCCGGCGAGUAUCAGCGGCCUAGGGGGAGUACCUGCUUGGCAUCAGUAAUUUCCACAAGCUAGCCCAUCUUCAAACUGGGGGCAUGUCGCCUUCUGCAGAUUGAUCGUCUCUGCCUUGGGAAUGGAAAGUAAGAUGCUCUGACAUGUGAUGCCUAUCCGCCAACGUCUCCAGUCCCAUGAACGACCAAAGCAGAUAGAUGUAGGACAGGAACUCACCGCCUUCACCCAAGCUCUUGGCAUGCAGGUAGCCCCUGCACCUGCUGGCGGAAUAGCAGAGCAUCUCCACCCACACGCCUUGGAUCACAGUCCACCUCUCCUCCUCGCUGCCUAGAUCCAUUAGUGCUUUGGCGAGUUUGCUCGCAUUGGAAAUCAUAUCAUCUGCCAAUGUCAGCCUUGGCAUGUUAAGGAUCUCCUGUGCAAGAUUUUCUUCUGUCAUGUCGAGCGGUCCCUUGCUGUUUUCGAAAAUCUGGUCAGUGGCCAACUUGGCAAGAGCUGAUCUGGUGCCAAGCAUAAGCAUCUCAGGACGGAUGAGAAGCAAGUAGAACAUAUAGUUGGAUAUGCUCCUGCUGCCUUGUGUGGCUUCUUGUCGACGUUGAGGGGAUGUGUCGGGGUGAUAAAAGCAGAGCUCUGUGGCGACAUGCCAAACAAGAACGCUCUCAUCCAAAGGCAUCUUCAAGGUCCAAGCUAGCUGAUGGUGCAUCCUUAGAGCCAACUGACCUCGGAGCGCACUGAAGCUCUUGUAACUUGCAGCGUCGCAUAUGCACUUCUUCCAACCAUCUUCCAUGUGUCGGCGUACCGUCUCCGAGAUGUGGUAUGCUGUAGGUACUUGUUGAAUAUACCAAUGUUGGUUAAGAAGCUCUCUUAGAAAGUCGAAGGUAGCAAGCUUCAUCAGGAAUGUGGGCUUCUUCUUGCGAACACACAAGGACAUGAUGUUGUGCUGGGAAACCAUGUUGUGCCAGCCACAAAUAGGAUCGUCAAGGAAAUGAAAGAUACGUGGAACUAGUAUCAUGGAGAAUGCCAGGAAGGGAACGUAAAGCUCCAACACGGUGGUACAACAUAAUAAGAUGUAUGUCACCCAAAUGUCCUUUUCGUCCUGACCAUCCUUGCGGCUCUUGGCAAAGAGCACAAUAGAAGCUAAGGCUAGGAAAGGAAGCAAAAGGAAUGAGCCAGUGCCAAGUCCAGUGCCAAUUAAUCCAUUUCUGGUGUACAUGUCAUCAAAUGUGUCUCCUAGCUUCUCCUGAAGCUUUUUGUAUGCAUGCUUAUAUUCAAGCUUCAGGAAAGAUGUCAACUCUUCAAUUCGAACAGAGUAUGGAGCAGACUGAUCAAGGAACAUAAAAUCCAUAUCAUGCUUAUACUCAAUGUGUAUCUUUGUGUUCAAUACACACCUCUUUGCUGCUUCUACAUAUUCUUCACGCGUAUAUUCUCUCUGCGCACUUGUGAGGGGCACCGUGCUGGACUGGAGGCUGUUGAAGCUGGCGGUCUUGAGGGCCCAUGGCUUCUGAGCAAAUCUGAGAACACCAAGAAUAAAGAGCAAGACCGCUGCCGCCAGCUGUGUCUUCUCGCCGGACCACCAUCUGCAGAAGACAUACACGGCAACCGUGAUCUGGGACACAAGGGUUACUAUAUGUCGCUUCCAUAGCUCGUUGUCUUCGAGGCUGUAGGCACUUAUCCCUGGCUGGCCGCCAAGAUGGAUGAGGAGGAGAGGCACCCAUAGGACCUCCAGGUUGUUGCUGCGCUCCUCAUCACAAGUCUGCCUGCGGCGGUUGAAGAGGGUGGCGAGGGCGAAGAUUGCCACGGCGUCGCUGCUUACGUAUGCUAUCCACACCAGUACUCUGUAGCGGCGUAGGAUAGGAACUCUACGCGCAUAAUGGGAGAAGAGGAGGAUGUACUGGAUGAAGAGGCUGGUGAGGACGAGGAUGCGCAGCUGCCACUCCUGCCACCAUUCCACGGCACUUGAAAGUACCAUCACCAAUGCGAAUCUGCUACUCGGUACUCACUCAACUCACUGGGGAGAGGGAGAAGAAGAAGGUGGUGAGGAUGAAGAAGCUGCAGUACUCAGCGGCUGAAGUGGGAGUGAGUGAGACAGAUAGCUGGGCGGGCUUGCCCUGCCGGGCUGCCCCUUGUAUUAUUACUGGACAAUUGGACGCUCUGGAUGGCUUCCGCUCUGGAUGGCUUGAAGAAACAUUGGAUGGUCUGGAUGGCUUGAAAGGUAGGGUUUAUUUUCCAUUGGGUCCUCACAGGCAAGACCUCAGCCUCAAGUCUGGAUGGCUUGAAAGGUAGGGUUCAUCCACGCGGCUGUGGCCACUAAUGACUCUGUGCAGGACACCUACCUACCAGGCAUUUGGCGUUGCACUAAGUAUAUUUUGUUCCACUUGCCCAACUAGUUCUGUAAGUUUAGUUUUGUCAGUUAAGACUUACAUUGAUCGAUGAACGGACAGAUUGUUUAUCCUCGUUUACAAUACUUUAUUAUAUGCAUGUUACUCCUAGUCUCCUAGGAUGCAUUUGGUCGAGCCAGGUCCACGAGCGAUGAAAUCGACCCGUUGGUUGUCUGUGCUGCAUAUGUUUAUUGCACGCCCGGACCUCAAAAGCAGCUCCAGGCAUGGUUGGUUGUGAAGGAAUGGCCGAAUCAACAGUUUUUUUUUGUGAGUCAGGCUCACUCGAGCCAAGCGAGUGCUUGCCCAAGUGGGGAAGCACGACAGACGACGUGACGUCUCAUAACUUCCCCACGCUCCUUUCCGUCACCUCCCUCCCUCUCCUGUUCACACCCACUCGCUCUCGCUCCCUUCAUUAUCCGUUCGGUUUCUUCAAUGGUAGAGUCGCUGUCUCGCCACGCCCCACCCACUCCCGUCAUCGCCGGCAGCAACCUCAUCCAUGGGAUCUCGGCGGGGCUAUCCGGGGGCCGUCCCCAUUCUGCACCAUGCCACCGCCCCGGGCUAAUGCAGCAUCGCCUCCGCGCGCUUCAGCCCCGCCUGUUGAGCCGGACUACGUCAUCGUGGGCUCGAUGGCGGCGGGGUUACGAAUCCCACCCCCUACGACUUUGGCCGGGCCCACAUAUGGGGGUAUUUGUACCCCCAUUCAAGGGUUUUCUCCCCUGGUGCAAGGGGAGGGGAGCUCGAGCAUGCCGCCGUUUUCUUCCCAUCGGCGCGUGACGAGGACCAUGGCCGCGGCCCUCGGAAUGGCUACAUCUUCUUCGACAAUGGUGGCACUCCUGUUCCCGCCGGGGUUUUCUCCACGAUCGGCGUACGCUCCACUGGCAACGCCCACCGUAAGCUUCCAAUAUCCCUCUUGCUUCCUAGUUAGGGUUCUUAGGGUAGUUCGAGCAAUGAUAGAUUACUUUGUUCACAUUGGAUUCGAUCCGAUUCGAUUCGACUGGAUUCGAUCCGAAUCCACUGCUUUUUGGUUAAAUGAGAGUGCAUGCUAGUGUUCGUACUGCUUACAUGACAAUGCUUCUGCCUUAAGCAUGCUAUAUGAUGUCAAUGCAGGCACAAUGUUGCUGCCUAAGGUAGAUUUGAUUGUUCACUCCACAUUUAUAGUGCCUAAGAUGCUACUUAGGUGUUGUUUUUGUUGUUUUGCUGAUGGUCUUGCUGCUGUUAGUGACAUUCUUGUUGUUGUUAGUGGCGUUCUUGCUGCUGUUAGUGUUGUUCUUGCUGUUGUUAGUGUUCUUGUCAGUGUGUAAGUUUGUAUAUUACUAGUGCCUGGGCUACAUGACUGCAUGAUCAACAUAGGACAGGGCAUGUGCAUGCUAGUAAGACAACCAUGAAUGCCCAAAAUAGAAGUAGGACCAACUUGAUUGCAUAAUUAUUGUCAAAAAAAAACUUGAUUGCAUAACAAGCAUGUGCAUUUGGCAUGAUUUGAUAGCACUGAUCACUCCUAGCUAUGAUCGUUGGUAGCACUGAUCAUUGCUAGAUAUGAUUGUUGGUAGCACUGAUCAUUGUUAGCUAUGAUCAUUGGUAGCUCUAAUUACUGUUAGUACUGAUCAUUGUUAGCUCUGAUAAUUGGCAUUUUCACUUUUGCAGGAUCAUAGCACGACUGCUCUCUGCCAAUAAUCAUCUCUCAUUUGCUAACUAUCGUCCACUUUAUUGGAAAGAUAAUGAAGACGGAGUGGAACACAGCCGGCAGAGGAGCGCAGGUCGUCGUCACGCAGAGGGUGACAAGGACCUCAUCGGGACGUGGUUCCUGGCAGUGGAAUACAUGAGCUUGGCGGGCGGCACCGGCAGGAGUCCAAGGAUCGGCCACGAGGAGGGUGCACGGUAAUCUAUCAGGUUCUACGUGCAGAUUCAGGACCAGGAGGACAUCACGGUGCUGGUCAUCCCGCCUGCCUUCAGGUCGAUGAUGAAGCAAUGGCUGGUCCUUUGCCCUCCUCGUGUCGUCAGCCUCUCUACCAACAAGUGGUGCCAAUUCUGCAUCCAAGUGUAGUAUUUCAAGGGACACAUGGUGCUCGGGCGCAACUGGGAGUACUUCUAUCGGCGGCACAAGAUCAUCCCCGACGACCUUGUAGUCCCGAGGCUCUCCAACGUGGGGCUGAAAGUGCAGACCUUCAACACCAACACCUCCAACAUUUGGAGGGUCCAGUGCUCGAAGCACAACUGCGUCGGCGACAUCAUGCACGCCCUCUAGGUUGUCUUUCUGUAGAUCGUCUGAAGUAUGAACUAAGUUAGGUCUAAACUGAAACUUCAUCGUCUCUUUUGAUGUGAACUUGUCCAUAUUUUGCCAAGGGAACCACACCCUAGGGUCCAGCAGGGAGAUGGGAUGCCCUACUUUUUUAAACUUAUGCCUAGUACUACGUUUGACCUGUCUGGUCUUGAUGUUCGCAUUGUUCUUGUUGUUCUUCUAUUGUUGUUCUCGCUGAUGAUGUCUUUUGUGUGGUGUGUGCUGCAAAAUGGAUGGUAAGUCCACAUUUAGAAGGGGUGAGCAGAACGAUUACUUACACACAGCCAAAAAAUUGUGCCUUGCAUCUGGUCACCCCUAAAGCACAAACACGGGCAAUCAAACAACAUGCCACCAUCUGGACCUUGAUGCAAUGGAUGCAACUAAUCAACAUGCAGAUGUUGAUUUUUUUUUUUUCCUGCAUUAUAUCAACCAGCAGGGUCCGGCCGGCAAAAUACGGGGCCCUGUGCGAAACUAAAAAGUAAGGUCCUAUCACACUAGAAAGAAAUGAACUAACUAGCAAUUAUAAUGUAUAGAUGACUCAAAUUUGUAUUACUAAAACACAAGAUAUGAAACAAGAAUGGAAUAAAAUUGAAGUAAUAAAACAACAGAUAUCAAUUAAAGAUUGUGUGAGAAUGUUUGUCAAUUAGACGAACCGUCUAACUCACCUAGUCUCUAAUUAGAAAUUAGGGGAAGGAGCCAAAUUUAAUCAGAAAGGAGGACUCGCCAGUAGCAGACUACCUGUUUUGACUAGAGGAUCAGAGAAACUGCCGCUGACGCUCUGAAGUCUGGAAUUUUCGCCAAUCAAUUCAGCGAUCCAAUUUCCGAUGAUCCAGUCGAGCAGCGCCUGAGAACUAUCGCCAAGGCCAACCGAUCAGAUGAGUUGCAGUUUGUAGCGACGCGACGCGACGGCUUUUGCCUUUUUGCACUCCUGACGGUCUCCAUUUUCCUUUUUUAGGGUUAGUGAUCUCUGUUUCCUUUUAUCUAUCUCCCAUUCCAUUUUUUAGGGCUGAGGAUCUCCGUUUUCCUUUUCUGAAACUGUCUUCGUUUCCUUUUUUCGAAGGAAAAUCUUUGUUUCCUAAUAUAUAUAUCUCCCUAAUAAUAAACCACGGACCGCUUCUGUCGUACGUCGUUGUCGGUUUUGCAGAAAAGCCCAUGUUGUUUUGGCUAUUCAACCCGCACUACAGUUUUAAGUGAAUCGAGGCCGCAAGGCAGCGCUGCCCACGGGAAGCUUCGAGGGGUGGGUCGUCACCAACCUCCCGAGCGAGGCAUGGCUAGGACGGCGGCACACAACGGCGGCGGGGCGAUGCGAGGGGCAUGCAGGAGAGGAACGAGGCCGGAUCUGGCACGAGACACCCCUGAUCCAUUCGUCCCCUGCUGGAAUGAAACAGAGGUGAGAUCGGGACGCCGGCGGAGGUCCAUGGCGCCUGCAGAAUGGGAGGCAGAGAGGGAUUAGAGAGAAGAAGAGAGGAGAGGAGGAGGAAGAAGAAGCAGCAGGGGCGCGGUGGCUCGAAUUGCUCUGGAUCGGGAUCAGCGGUGGCUCGGCUCGCUCUGGAUCUGGAGAGGAGGAAGAAGAAGAACCAGCGGGCGGCGGCUCUGGAUCGGGAUCCCCUCCCGUUCGCUGCGGGCUCAACCCUUCCCCAGCAAGAGCAGGGGUGCGCCCGCGCGUCCUCCUCCUGGUACAGCCUCAAAUCCCUCAUCCAUUUCCCCGUUCUCUGCUUCUCUGACUCUAGCUGUGUUAAACGCAUAGUAUUAACUUCUUGAACGGCCAUGGCUCACCCACGGGUUCUGUGCGUCUAAAUUGCUUUGCUUGCAGGGAGGGGAAGACCGGUGAUGGACUGGCCGACGAGGGUGAAGAUCGCGGCGGGAUCGGCGCGUGGGUUGGCCUACGUGCACGAGGACUGUAAGAUGUGGAUGGGUUUACUUUUGCUCCUAUUUCUGCGUCUAUUCGUUCUGAAUUUGCAGCUGAUUUUUUGUGCUCUUUGCUGUUGUACAUAGGUCAUCCAAGGAUCAUCCACGAGGACAUCAAGUCAUCCAACAUCCUUCUCAACGACAACUUAGAAGCUCAGGUUAUGCUCUUUCUCAAUAAAAUGGCUAUUGUUCUAUCGAUGGUAGUAUGUUCAGUUACUGACCUUUGUCGAGAAAAAAAAUGUUCAGUUACUGACGAAACCUGAAUGUCGCAUUCAUCGUAAUCUAGGUCGCGGAUUUCGGGCUUGCCAGGCUCGCGGAGAACGACGUGACACACGUCUCGAUGCGUGUGAUGGGCACAUUCGGAUAAACAAACCAUAUCUAACUGCAGGAGCCAUUCAUCUCGGCACGUCGAUAGGAAAUGAGGAAAAAUUGUCAAAAACUCUGUGUUUGUGGUGACUGAAAACGAACAGGUACUUGGGACCGGAGUACGCCUCGACAGGGAAGCUGGCGGAGAAAUCGGACGUGUUCUCCUUCGGGGUGGUGCUCCUGGAGCUCAUCAACGGCCGGAAGCCCGUCGACACAUCCCGCCCCCUCGGCGACGAGAGCCUCGUGGAGUGGGUAAGCAAGAUCACCACCGGCAGGCAGCAACAGCAGCACACCCAUGCAGUACGCCAUUGCAUCCAUCACUGACAGCGUGCUCGCUCGUGCACCUUGUCGCAGUCGAGGCCGCCGCUGAANNNNNNNNNNNNNNNNNNNNNNNNCCGCGCGAUCGACGAGCAGGAGUUCGAGGAGCUGGUGGACCCGCGCCUCACCGGUGACUACGACGACGUCGAGAUGUUCCGCAUGAUCGAGGCGGCGGUGGCAUGCAUCCGGCACUCGGCCGCCAGGAGGCCCAAGAUGGGGCAGGUUCGUGCGUUCGGGCGAGGAAGAAGAACCUCCUCCAACCUCACAACGUCUAUUCUCGCCAUUUAUUUGUUUCGUCUUGGGCUGCGUUGCAGGUCGUUAGGAUUCUGGACAGCCUGACCCUGAACGACGUGGAGCUGAGCAACGGCGGCAGGAGGGAUCUGUAGCCAGCCUCGCGAGCUUCCGAUGAUUUUGUUUCUGUUCAUCUGUUGAUUGUUUUGUUCAUGAUAUUUUACAAUGAAUUUGUAUUUGCUGUCUUACUACAUGUCUCUUUCUUUCUUUCUUUGGUGUGUACGUUAACAGGGUAUGCCCACAUGGUCAUGUAUUUUUAGUUAUUCUGAACAGAUAUACGUUGUUUUUCUCAUAGGUUCCCUGAAGUAAGAAAGUGUUGUGAAUAGGGCAUUGUGGAAAUUAUUGUUGUACGCCCCUAUACACAAGCCUUCGUAGGCGUUAAGAGUCCAUCCAUGAAAAGAGGCUGGAAAAGCUUGAACCGUAAUUUCCGAUCACCCUCUAGAAUGGCAUGUUCUCCUCGGUUGAAAUAGGAAGAAUGUCAUGUUCUUGAUUAGAAUAGGCAGUUUCUUCCCUUAGAACACUACUUGAGAGUUUCCUACCUCAUACGACUCGGAAAUUGCCAUCUUAAUUUCCCACGCCAUUUGAAAUCAGUAAAUUCCUGAAAGAGGAGGGGGCGAUGAAAUGGAAUCGACCGGCUCAAAUACGACAUCUUCUAGAGGGCACAUAUUUUUUUAUGGAUUUGCUAAUCUUAAUCUUCUUGCCAAUGGUAAACACAACAAGUUGGCACAUCAUAUGACUAGAUUUUUUUUGACAAUCAUCUUUUGACUAGAAUAAGGCAAAGAGAUCGAGGUCAAAGUGGACACCGAGCUAUGGGGCAACUAUCUCUCCUAACACUAGCUUGAUUUAUAAACGCUCUCUUGAAAUGGAAUAAAACUUCAGGUGAGGAUUCUCUUCUUGUGAAAGUUUGAAAAGAAAUCUAUACAUACUAAUAAAAGAAAUAGGCAUUCUUAAUCCGUCAUACUCUUUCUCUAGAAACCCUCUUAAGUUUCUGAUAAUCAACCCGCAGUAUAUAUUAAUUGAGUUUUUGAAAAUUCAUAUCUUUUUAACGCUAACUUUAAAUUUAACAUGUUAUAUAUGAAAUUUGAUUAGAAAAAUAUGUAGAAUCUGAAUAUGAUAUUAUUUUACGUGUUAACAAUUUAAAAAUGCUAUUUACUAUAUAACCUUAAUCGAUAGCGCAUGAUCAGUCUUUCCUUCAUAUCGGUGUCGAUUCGAAUUGAAAAUGAACACUUUGGCAAAACUAGGAUGGAGAAUAAAAAUAAUAUCUAUAAUCACGCAUGCACGCCUUGUCAAAACCUCACAGAAAAAAUAAAUUUAUCAUUUUAUGUUGAGAGGGAGACAUCUUAAGAUUGACAACAUUCAAACAUGUUGUGAUGAUGUGAACACUAAAGCCAGCGUCGUGGAAAGAAGGGUAAAUAGAAAUACACAUGGGAUUUCAUGUGUUGAAAUAAAGGACACGGGCCUAUGGACCCAUGAUUGUUAGAUUAGUGAGCGUUUUUCUUACCCGUUGCAACGCACGGGCUCUUUUGCUAGUAAUACCUAUCGAGCAGCGCUGCAGCUGCCGAUCGAUCCGACACUCGAUGUCUCGAGGCUCGACUCACGAGGAAGUGCUAGCGACCCAGUGCCAUGAGCGGCCCAAUGUCCAGGAAUAGUUAACAUGUUAUAGGCCUAUAAAAAACUUGGGACCCCUAACAUCUAUGGGCCCUGUACGGGCCGCAGAGUCUGGACAGCUAUGGGCCCGGCGCUGUUAACCAGGCCCAAAUGGAUCAAGUAUGCAAAGUGGCAAAAAACGCAUCCCUACCAGUAGGCCUUGAUCAAGCCCAGAGGUAAUCAAACGCAUCCCUAGCAGUAGGCCUUGAUCAUACUAAUACAACUACUUGGCCAAAUACACAGCCAGAUUCCUUAACCCCACCCUGAAUCCCGCUGAAUGAAAUAAUAGUAUAAAUGAGUCAGGUGGCAUCGUCUAAUAUAAUACUAGUAGAUGAAUAGAGUAUUAGAGUAAAUACAAUAAAGUGACGUAGGGGCGGGGGGCCCUCUAAGACUCAAAAUGGUAUAUUAUUUUAGUUGAAAGAGAGAGAAGAAAAAAAAAAGGACUACAAACUAAUAGCCAGUUGUAGCACGUGGUCCUAGAAACUUUGUGAAAGAGAAAGAUGGGCCAUGUAUUAAUAACUAUUAUAUUUGUUGGCUAUAAGUUUGGCUAUAAAUAAAAUGACAACAUCAUAUAGCUAGCAGUAUUCAUAAACAUUCUCUUAGGACAUAUCUAGGACACAUCUAGAAGUGCCUAAUUAUUGCACCCCUAAGUGACACAAUCAAGCAUAACACAGAUCUCCGCACAAAUUCAAUGAUAUAGAAAUUAGAUGUGUAAAUACUUAUGGGCUAUGGCACAUCUAGACUAUAUGUGCUUUAGGUUGGACGGUAUUAAUAUUUUCUGGGCUUCCCACGCAUAAUGGGCUAGUUUGGUUUGCAUCCACGGUGGUAUUCCUGAGGAAAAGUGCUGCCUGGCGUGGCUUGAAAUGUGAAGAAAAUUUUGCCUGGUCAAGCAGCGUGUGGCGAAAGACGUUUGGUUUCCUUACUCGCCUGAUGAGUUAUGUAGGUUCGAAAAUUAGCCCAUCAGCUCGUCCAUCGAGAAGUAUUACGUUGGUUAGCGUCCCAGGCAGCUGUUAGUGGUCACGAGGCGUGGGAUUCCUUGCGCCUGGACCAGGCUAACCACCUGCCUGAAGUCUCCUGCCAGGCUAAUCACUACUCAUCCAGGCAACCUCAGGCAUUUCCAGGACAGUAACCAAACGAGUUCCUCAAAACAGCAGGCACGCUUCAGGCCGGAUGUCAUGAGGACACGAACCAAACUGACUCAAUGUACUUGCACACUGAUGUCCUAGUGCUUGUGAGAGAAUCGGAAAUCUCGAACAACUCUGUUGGUGAUUCAAGAAGCAUGCUCUAGAAUUUCUCCUUCCGUAAGCCAAAAGAUCCACGCCCUAUAAUCGAGGUAAAGCACUCGCGCAGCUCUGAUUAGCUAUCUAAUUAAUUAAUCCAGCUAGGUGCUCUAGUACUAGGUGAGCGGAUUGAGGCGAGGUGCUCUAGUACUAAAUGCAAUGGAGCGAAUGGGAAUAAACGCAAGCACCUGGCGGGCGGUUGAAGCUGGCCUGGUCCUGGUGGCGCUCCGCUCCCAGUCCCAGCUUCCAGUGGGCGUAGCCGCGGGGGAGAGGGUGGGUGACCAAGGAGGAGGACGCAAUUUAGCUGGAAGACGAGGCGGGGUGAGGUGAUCCGGCUCGCCGUCGUCUUCGCCUGGAGCUGGAGGUCGACCAGGGCAGCUCCGCGCCCUCACCCUCUCCGCCGCCUGGAUUUCCGCGCCAUCAGGCCGACCACGCACGCCCAGCUUGCACGUCGGGGCGUCUCGUCCCCGCGCCACCACCCGCGCGGCCGACGAGUCGGUCUGGCGCCUGCGUUACGAGCGCGCGGCCGCGGCCGCGCCCUUGGCUCCUCUCACGCUCGGCUGCUGUGGAUUCUUUCACUCAGGGACAGAGGGGAGCGUUUUAAGGUGGGCCGGAGGAUAACGCGAUUCUUAUUUUCCACAUGGUUAUUUUGGUUUUUGUUCAUUUUUCUUUGAUUUUUUUUAUUUCCUUCUCUUUUUUUAUCGUUUUCUAGGUUUUCACUGUUUCUUUUUGGGUUUUGAUUGUUUCCAUUCUUUUACAUGGUUUUGUUUUCUUUUCCUGUGGUCUGGUUUCUUUGUUUCUUUUCUCAAUUUUAAUGGUUUUUUCAUUAUUAUUUUUCUUUAUUUCACUGUCAGUUUU
Molecule: long non-coding RNA, 13680 nt
Filed under: Hordeum vulgare
Lineage: Eukaryota; Viridiplantae; Streptophyta; Magnoliopsida; Poales; Poaceae
Description: long non-coding RNA (HVUL_LNC013693)
Source: RNAcentral